Oncorhynchus tshawytscha (Chinook salmon) is the source of this 1021-nucleotide long non-coding RNA. The record is from Ensembl. Lineage: Eukaryota; Metazoa; Chordata; Actinopteri; Salmoniformes; Salmonidae.
CCUUAUGGCUCUAAUCUGGUAGUGGUAGUGGGGUGGUAGUUGUCUAGUCUCCCUUAUGGCUCUAAUCUGAUAGUGGUGUGGGGUGGUAGAUGUCUAGUCUCCCUUGUGGCUCUAAUCUGGUAGUGGGGUGGGGUGGUAGUUGUCUAGUCUCCCUUAUGACUCUAAUCUGGUAGUGGGGUGGUAGAUACCUUGUCUCCAUUAUGGCUCUAAUCUGAUGGUGGGGUGGUAGAUGCCUAGUCUCCAUUAUGGCUCUAAUCUGAUGGUGGUAGUGGGGUAGUAGUUGUCUAGUCUCCCUUAUGACUCUAAUCUGGUAGUGGGGUGGUAGAUGCCUAGUCUCCGUUAUGGCUCAAAUCUUAUAGUGAUAGUGAGGUGGUAGAUCCCUACUCUCCCUUAAAUAUCUAAUCUGGUAGUGGGGUGGUAGAUCCAUAGUCUCCUUUAUGGCUCUAAUCUGGUAGUGGGGUGGUAGAUGCCUCGUCUCCCUUAUGGCUCAGAUCAGGUGAGACUGGGAAGGAGAGAGUGAGAGACUGGGAAGGAGAGAGCGAGAGACUGGGAAGGGAGAGACACAGAGAGAGUUCAAUAAUCUCCCCAUCAUCACUAUCACCAGCCAGCUCCCACUCUAAUGGUUGUUUGUUUACUGUAACGAGCUGCUACACAGACACACACUAAUGUGAUUGGUUCUGAGGGAGAAAAUGAAUAUGAAUAGUAGCAAUUCUAAAGGAAAGCCUCUUGUUGGUGGAAAAAAUUCCGCUUUUAAACAGACUUUUAAACACUCACUCCCGGUAAUGCCGUCGUGAACGCAGUCAACACACUCCCGGAAUAGAACCACACAUCAGCAGAUAGUCAACAGUCAUCAGAUAUAAUCACAUUCUUCAUGUUCCUGAGGUUUAUUGAUGUUUAUUUCACUCCGUCAUACCCGUGUGUGAUUUAAUCUAUGAUCAUAACCGACCCGGGAUUAGGGCCUGUAUGAUCUGGAAUGUACAUGUCAUUGAGACUCAUGUGGAAGUACAGUCAUGGUGGCAGU